CAUGUCGUUUCGAGGGUUCGGAAACGACGGGUGAGCGACAGUGGGUUCCGGUGUCGAAUUUGACACUUCCGAGAACCCGGAGCGGAACGAUUAUCCGACGAUAAUCGUUUCGAAGUAAGGAGGUGUGUUCACUGCCAUGUUACACGAAAAGUUGAGUUGGUGGCAGCGGGUGACUCAUAGAGCGAGUCGGUGAGUUCCGGGAUAGUUCGUGGGUCCCGGCAGAGUCCCAGUGUGACUUUCGGGACUUCCGGUGAGUUAUGGCAAUUGGUUUUGGAAAACCGAUUCCCGUAGGUUUAUUGGUAGGGAUUGUGAGUUAGUGGUUUGUGUUUGUGGGUUGGAUGCUAACCCGGUG
Molecule: long non-coding RNA, 352 nt
Filed under: Ananas comosus (pineapple)
Lineage: Eukaryota; Viridiplantae; Streptophyta; Magnoliopsida; Poales; Bromeliaceae
Description: long non-coding RNA (ACOM_LNC002082)
Source: RNAcentral